Molecule: long non-coding RNA, 548 nt
Filed under: Homo sapiens (human)
Lineage: Eukaryota; Metazoa; Chordata; Mammalia; Primates; Hominidae
Description: non-protein coding lnc-TEC-3:1
Source: RNAcentral
CAGAGAGUCGAGAGAAGAUUGAAAAUGUACAAAGCAAAUUGAAAUGGACUAAUUUUCCAGGACUUCAGCAGCUCUUCCUUAAGGGUUUUACCUCAGCAUCUACACAAGAAAUGACCGUGCACCUCCUCAGUAAACUCAUUUCUGUCUCCAAACAUACAUUGGUGGAUCCUUCCCAAUUGUCAGGUUUGUGCAGAAGAAAAAUGCCCAACACUUGUCAAUCUGGCACACAUGAUGAGUUUGUACAGUACACACACGUAUUCCAGAGACUGUUCUAACUGGAUCAAUGUCGUGUGCAGAUACCUGCAUGACUCCUUCUCAGAUACAACAUUUAAUCUUGUGACUUAUCUUGCAGAGCUGUUAGAGAAAGGAUUGUCCAGUAUGCAGCAAUCAUUACUACAGAUUAUUUAUAGUCUAUUGAGUCAUAUUGACCUGUCUGCAGCCCCAGCCAAGCAGUUUAAUCUGGAGAUCAUAAAGAUUAUUGGCAAAUAUGUACAGAGUCCUUACUGGAAGGAAGCCCUUAACAUAUUAAAGCUGGUGGUGUCACGCUC